Molecule: ribosomal RNA, 233 nt
Filed under: uncultured bacterium
Lineage: Bacteria
Description: partial 16S ribosomal RNA
Rfam family: Bacterial small subunit ribosomal RNA
Source: RNAcentral
GGCAGCUACAUGGCGACAUGAUGCUAUCUCCAAACCGCUCUCAGUUCGGAUCGGAGUCUGCAACUCGACUCCGUGAAGCUGGAUUCGCUAGUAAUCGCGCAUCAGCCACGGCGCGGUGAAUACGUUCCCGGGCCUUGUACACACCGCCCGUCAAGCCAUGGAAGCCGGGGGUACCUGAAGUCCGUAACCGCAAGGAGCGGCCUAGGGUAAACUNNNNCUGGGGCUAAGUCGUA